This 468-nucleotide ribosomal RNA is filed under the name uncultured bacterium. Its description in RNAcentral is "partial 16S ribosomal RNA". It matches the Rfam family "Bacterial small subunit ribosomal RNA", at positions 28 to 507 of the family's 1533-position model. The record is from RNAcentral.
GACGAACGCUGGCGGCGUGCUUAACACAUGCAAGUCGAACGGAAAGGCCCUGCUUUUGUGGGGUUCUCGAUUGGCGAACGGGUGAGUAACACGUGAGUAACCUGCCCUUCACUUUGGGAUAACUUCAGGAAACUGGGGCUAAUACCGGAUAGCAUCUCCUGCUGCAUGGUGGGGGUUGGAAAGUUUCGGCGGUUGGGGCUGGACUCGCGGCUUAUCGGCUUGUUGGUGGGGGAGGUGCUUACCAAGGGUUUGACGGGUAGCCGGCCUGAGAGCGUGACCGGCCACAUUGGGACUGAGGGAGGGACCAGAGGCGAACGGGGGGCAGAAGUGGGGAAUAUGGCACAGUGGGCGGAAGCGUGAGGCAGCGGCGCCGCGUGCGUGAUGACGGCUUUUGGGGUGUAAACAGCUGUCGGUUGAGACGAAGCGUGAGUGACGGUAAUGGGUAAAGAAGCACCGGCUAACUACGUG